RNAcentral lists this ribosomal RNA (443 nucleotides) under uncultured bacterium. RNAcentral's name for it is "bacterial SSU rRNA". It matches the Rfam family "Bacterial small subunit ribosomal RNA", at positions 958 to 1401 of the family's 1533-position model. The record is from RNAcentral.
AACGCGAAGAACCUUACCUGGGCUUGAACCGCACAGGAUCAUCUUUGGAAACAGAGACUUCCCGCAAGGGACCUGUGUAGAGGUGCUGCAUGGCUGUCGUCAGCUCGUGCCGUGAGAUGUUGGGUUAAGUCCCGCAACGAGCGCAACCCCCGUUGUUAGUUGCCAUCAGGUAAAGCUGGGCACUCUAGCGAGACUGCCGGUGACAAACCGGAGGAAGGUGGGGACGACGUCAAGUCAUCAUGCCCCUUAUGCCCUGGGCUACACACGUGUUACAAUGGUCGGGACAAUGCGAUGCAAACUAGCGAUAGUGAGCGAACCGCAAAACCCGGCCUCAGUUCAGAUCGUAGGCUGAAACUCGCCUGCGUGAAGUCGGAAUCGCUAGUAACCGCCGAUCAGCACGCGGCGGUGAAUACGUUCCCGGGCCUUGUACACACCGCUACAGU